AGUGAACGCUGGCGGCGUGCCUAAUACAUGCAAGUCGAACGGAGUGGCGCACGGGUGAGUAAUGUAUAGCUAAUCUGCCCUACACUAGAGGACAACAGUUGGAAACGGCUGCUAAUACUCUAUAGUGUAGGAUGAGGCUAUAUUGUAUCAGCUAGUUGGUGAGGUAAUGGCUCACCAAGGCUAUGACGCAUAACUGGUCUGAGAGGAUUAUCAGUAGCACUGGAAGUGAGACACGAUCCGGAAUCAUACGGGAGGGAGCAGUAGGGAAUAGUGCUCAUUGUGGGAAACGGUGAAGCAGCAACGCGGCGUAAAGGAUGACAAUUUUCGGAGCGUAAACUCCUUUUGUUAGGGAAGCGGUACCUAACGAAGAAGCACCGGCUAACUCCGUGCCAGCAGCCGCGGUAAUAC
This 408-nucleotide ribosomal RNA is filed under the name uncultured bacterium. RNAcentral's name for it is "partial 16S ribosomal RNA". It matches the Rfam family "Bacterial small subunit ribosomal RNA", at positions 29 to 526 of the family's 1533-position model. The record is from RNAcentral.